Microcebus murinus (gray mouse lemur) is the source of this 1120-nucleotide non-coding RNA. The record is from RefSeq and is a predicted model, not a curated record. Lineage: Eukaryota; Metazoa; Chordata; Mammalia; Primates; Cheirogaleidae.
UGGCAUGUACAGUAAUUAGAACUCUCUGGGUGCUUCUCUUGAGACUCUAGCCAUGGCUUCCAUAAUUCAACAUUUACGGCUGAGGUCUUUAUCCAGAAAAUGUGGAAUUUAUUGGGAGCCUGAGAGAUGGAUGAGCCUGGCAAGGAAAUGUGUAUUGUAAUUUAGGGAUGUCCUGCUAUCUUUGAGUUUUCAGCAUUUUCUUUUUCUGUUUAGGCCUGCAUUCUGGAGACUUGCACCUCAGAAACAGACAACUUGAUAACCUGGGUAAAUGCUGGAAGUUUAACAUUGAAUGAAGAAGAACAAAACUGAUUCUUGAGACCUGCAUCACAGAAACAGAAAACUUGAUAACUUGGGAAAAUGGUGGAAGUGUAAUGCUGAAUGAACAAGAACAAAACUGAAAAUCCAGCUUUCUGAAGCGUAUUGAAUGGCAUGGCAUGGCUUAUGUGGCUUAAGCCCAGAGAACCCUAUGAUAGAAAGAAGCCACUCAAGUUACAAGGAUAUUUUACAUGUAUCUACCUAGAUUCUUGAGACAUGGACUGCAGAAGCAGACAACUUGAUAACUUGGGAAAAUGCUUGAAUUGCAAUGCUGAAUGAAUAACAACAAAACUGAAAAUCUAGCCUUCUGAAGCAUAUUGAAUGACAUGACAAGGGUUAUGUGGUUUAGGACCUGAGAAAACCAUGAUAGAAGGAAGCAACUGAAGUUACAAGGAUAUUUUACAUGUAUGCUGUAAGUAAAAGUUCAUACCGAUAAAUACUUACAACUUGUCCACAUAUGCCCACACAUACACAAUUACAUAGUAAAUGUAAAAGAGCAGAAUGCAAGAGAUAAAAUAUUAGUACACUAUCUAUUAAACUUUCAAGAUUAUAAUUACUUUAAUUGUAUUUUGAUCUAUUUAGUGAUACUUCUACCCAUAUAUGUUAUUCUUAUGAUUUGCUUAAUAGUAGAAGAAUGCUAUGAAAUUUAACCCUAAAAAACUACCAUGUUUCCCAUGUAUAGUUAAUCCUGUUAGGAAGUGCUCACUGUCCCAUGUUGAGUCAAGAAUUCAGGGCAUCAAAAUCCAUGUAUAGAGUGACCAGGAUGCAUCUGAAGAAGAGAAAUGGAAAUGGUUUUUUUUGUAUG